CGGACGGGUGAGUAAUGUCUGGGAAACUGCCCGAUGGAGGGGGGUAACUACUGGAAACGGUAGCUAAUACCGCAUAACGUCGCAAGACCAAAGAGGGGGACCUUCAGGCCUCUUGCCAUCGGAUGUGCCCAGAUGGGAUUAGCUAGUAGGUGGGGUAACGGCUCACCUAGGCGACGAUCCCUAGCUGGUCUGAGAGGAUGACCAGCCACACUGGAACUGAGACACGGUCCAG
Molecule: ribosomal RNA, 232 nt
Filed under: uncultured bacterium
Lineage: Bacteria
Description: partial 16S ribosomal RNA
Rfam family: Bacterial small subunit ribosomal RNA
Source: RNAcentral